UGCAGUCGAACGAACUCUGGUAUUGAUUGGUGCUUGCAUCAUGAUUUACAUUUGAGUGAGUGGCGAACUGGUGAGUAACACGUGGGAAACCUGCCCAGAAGCGGGGGAUAACACCUGGAAACAGAUGCUAAUACCGCAUAACAACUUGGACCGCAUGGUCCGAGCUUGAAAGAUGGCUUCGGCUAUCACUUUUGGAUGGUCCCGCGGCGUAUUAGCUAGAUGGUGGGGUAACGGCUCACCAUGGCAAUGAUACGUAGCCGACCUGAGAGGGUAAUCGGCCACAUUGGGACUGAGACACGGCCCAAACUCCUACGGGAGGCAGCAGUAGGGAAUCUUCCACAAUGGACGAAAGUCUGAUGGAGCAACGCCGCGUGAGUGAAGAAGGGUUUCGGCUCGUAAAACUCUGUUGUUAAAGAAGAACAUAUCUGAGAGUAACUGUUCAGGUAUUGACGGUAUUUAACCAGAAAGCCACGGCUAACUACGUGCCAGCAGCCGCGGUAAUACGUAGGUGGCAAGCGUUGUCCGGAUUUAUUGGGCGUAAAGCGAGCGCAGGCGGUUUUUUAAGUCUGAUGUGAAAGCCUUCGGCUCAACCGAAGAAGUGCAUCGGAAACUGGGAAACUUGAGUGCAGAAGAGGACAGUGGAACUCCAUGUGUAGCGGUGAAAUGCGUAGAUAUAUGGAAGAACACCAGUGGCGAAGGCGGCUGUCUGGUCUGUAACUGACGCUGAGGCUCGAAAGUAUGGGUAGCAAACAGGAUUAGAUACCCUGGUAGUCCAUACCGUAAACGAUGAAUGCUAAGUGUUGGAGGGUUUCCGCCCUUCAGUGCUGCAGCUAACGCAUUAAGCAUUCCGCCUGGGGAGUACGGCCGCAAGGCUGAAACUCAAAGGAAUUGACGGGGGCCCGCACAAGCGGUGGAGCAUGUGGUUUAAUUCGAAGCUACGC
RNAcentral lists this ribosomal RNA (941 nucleotides) under Lactiplantibacillus plantarum. RNAcentral describes it as "bacterial SSU rRNA". It matches the Rfam family "Bacterial small subunit ribosomal RNA", at positions 56 to 962 of the family's 1533-position model. Lineage: Bacteria; Bacillati; Bacillota; Bacilli; Lactobacillales; Lactobacillaceae. The record is from RNAcentral.